CAGCCCGGGACACUCGGAGUUCCAGGCCUCCGCGCCCGCGCCCGAGGGCGCCCUCUCCGAAACGGCCACUUGCUCUCCGUUCCUCCUCCGCUUGCCUGUGUGUCAAUCAACACACACUGCCGCUUGCUUGACAGCGCUGUGCUGAGUAGUAGGACACGAGGUAUUGGGAUUCUUCCUGUUGCUGUAAACUCUUAUUUCUGUAUAGCGCUUACACAGCGUUUGCACCUUUGUGAUCUCGUGCAACACUUACUGGGCACCUACUGUGUUCGCCGCCCUGUGCUGGAUGCUGCGUCCACAGGGACACUCCCGGCCUCAAAGGGUUGGAGUGGGCGCGCAGAUCACGAUGUGAAAACGCACAUGCACAUCUUCCGGCCCCACCGCAGAACCGGGGUCCUCCCGGCGCCGCGGGCUGAGGCCAGCCAAUGAGAGGCACGCGGAAGGGCUGCAAGUCUGAAGCGCUCAGAAGAUGAGACGAUAUGAUGGACCGACGGACUCAAGGACAGAGAGGCCGAGAGAUUCGGGGGCCUGUGAGAGUAAGAUGUUAAUCCCCUGGUAGCCUCUGGUCUACUUUCUAUGGAUUUGCCUAUUCUAAAUAUUUCACACAAAUGGAAUCAGACAAUAUUGGUCCUUUGUGUCUGGCUGACUUCACUCAGCAUAAUGCUUUCCAGGUAAGUGUGUAUUUUUCUUGCUCCUGGGUAUGUGAGUUACUGGGCUAGCUCCAGGCUGAGGUUGGGCUCAGUUCUGCUUGUCACAUCUCCACGUUCUCCUUGGACCAGCCUUUCCCUGGGAUGUAUUCUUCUCACUGGGGGUCACAGCAUCCCAAGAGACCAAGCUCUGCCAAACUGUCUCUGAGAAGACGAGAUCAGGACACAGACGCCAACAAAAAAGACCAUGUGAAGACGCGGGAGGAAGACGGCCACCUGCAAGCCGCGAGAGAGGACUCAGAAGAAACCAACCCUUUUAACACCCUGAUCUGGGCCUCCCAGUGCCCAGAACUGGCAGCGAAAGGCCACGUCCUCCCAGCUCCAUUUGUGACUGGACGAGCGGACCGCACCGUGUGAGUCAGCCUGUUGUGGAAGCGUCUGAGAGUCAUUGCUCUGACUGUGCUGACGAAGCACAGAGAAGAAGGAAGGCCUGACCCCUGCCAGCCCGGAUGUUCCCUGAGGGCCUCUUGCUCUUCUCCACACUGUGGCCAGAGGCCUCUGUCACAGGCAUUAAUCUGGGCUUGUCUGUGUCCUGCCUAACAGCUUCAGGAGGAAGUCACCCUGUGCCCCAGCGCCGAGGCCUGCCCUCUGGAACUUGUCUCUUUGAGGUCCUCACCACGCCUCCAGCCCUGGGCUGGGCCAGGACACCCGGCUCUGUAUUCUCACAGCUCUUGCUCCCCUGACCUUAACACUCAUCCCAGCUGGAGGUUGGAGGUCGUGACUCCUCCUUUGCUGUCUUUCCCAGUGGAGUGUAGGCCCCUCCACAGCGGGGGCCAAGCUGUAGGCUGUGCAGAGCCCACGGCGGGCCCACCGGCAUUUGAUGAUGACAGGAAGCGCUCCUCACAUUCCACUGUAACUGCACGUCUUUCUUUGAGGGCAGACCUGCAGUUGGUUCAUUUCUAUAUCCUCAGCUUUUACUCUGAUCAAAGACCUGGCUCCACAUUCCAAAGGUGUGUGGGCUCUGAUUUCAGUGACCAGGUAGGCCUUUCCGUGACCUGGCCGGGAACGGGCUCCAAGGUCCAUCGCCCACGCUCCACAUGCGGUGUGGGGAGCACAGCAAGGUCUCCUACCCUGAGGGAAGGAAAGGGUUACAGCACUCACCUCUCAGGGCCCUCCCACUCCACCCCCUGCGACAGGUGAGACAGAUGAGGGUAGUGGGUGUGGUCCCAGCAGCCCUGGGGCCCCAAGGAGCCGGGCCUCUCCUUCCAGGUUUAGAUCUGGAACAGGGCCAUGGUUUUGUCCACAGUUCCAACAGGUGUAAUGGCAAUGUCAGGGGGUCACAGUGAGUGUCCUGGCUCCCCCGGCUGUGUUGAGACACAGAGCCAUGAGGCCCCCUUCUUCACAGGUCUCAUGGGUGUCGUGGUUCCUCCCUGAGGCAGCCAGGGGCUGGGCUGCUUGAACAUCAAUCCUUUCAAAUCAUAUCAUUAAAAUCUACUCCCACACCUGUAUUUCAAAGAUAACAUUUGUGCCUGAAAUUGCCACAACUACAUUAUGGCAAAGUCACAUCAUCUGGCUCAUAAUUUAAGGCUUAGAGGCUUCAACUAAUGUAGGUGACAGUCUGGUGGCCAAAAGGAGAAAGUCUGAUUACCAAGUGGCAUUUGCUGGGAGGUCUGGGUCCCCUCCAGCACCUCACGCACAUGUGCAUAAGAGGCACUCAGUGAGUGUUUGUGGAAUCUAUGAAUGAUAUGACGUUUCUAUCCUGAGUCUCAGGGUCUUUUUCUAUUCAGAAAUCUGUCCCCAGACCAGCCGGGUGGCUCAAUGGUUAAGUUCAGGGGCUCCACUUCAGCAGCCCGGGGUUCACAGGUUUGGCUCCUGGGCAUAGACCUAGCACCACUCGUUAAGCCACGCUGUGGAGGCAUCCCACAUAAAAUAGAGGAAGAUUGGUGCAGAUGUCAGCUCAGCAACAAUCUCCCUCACAAAAAAAAAAGAAAAGAAAUCUAUCCCCAAUUAUCACACACACUCACCACAGAGCAGGUCUUUGCUCACUGAAGGGAAGCAGGGCGUUGGCCCCAGUGAGCUGAUUCAGCCUUACAAUCUUUAAGUCACCAGAGCCAAAGAGGGGUGCAGGUGGGAAUCUUCUAGAACAUUGCUUUUCUCUGCAGAAAGAGGCAAUUAGCUAGUGUGUGGGGGGGUGGGGGGAGAUGUAGAAGGAAUACAGCCCAUUAGGUCUACAGAAGUGGCUGAAGCUGGUAUUUCUGCUUUCCCUUGGGAUAGGGGCUGCUGGAAGGUGCCCCUCCCACCCAACAGUGGGAUAGCCGCUGGGGUCAAAGUGGUGAACUUUGGAGACAGAAUUGGUUCCUCCCUAAUUAAGAGAUGUUAAGUAGGUAAACAAACACUGCGUAAGUGCUACAAAGGAGAUGCUACGUCCUUCUUAUCAUAUCAUCACAUCACUCCUUCUUCCCUCCCCAGAGUUAAGCUGUGGUGGGUCCCAGGAUCUAAUCUACACUGUUGCCACAGCACCCAAGAAAAUGUUAAAAAUUACCAUCUCUAGUGCUGUGACUAUGGAAGAUGCUUGAUUUUUUUCCUAUCAUAUGAAUGCGUUUUAUUUUAUUUGUUUUUGCCAAAUUUUUAUAAUGAACAUGUCAUAUUCACAAAACAAAGGGCUAAAGCCAAUAGAGUUAUUUUCAGAAGAAAGGAGACUGAGUGGAUUCCUGUAGAGGAGAAAAUUUUCCCAGCCCAGCUUGGAGGGAGGGGCCUUCUGAUGAUCCCGUCCAGCCUGAUGGCCACCGUGGGCGGGUUCUGACCACUGGGUGACCUGCACCCAGGGUUAUGUGAAAUUCAUGAGAACCAUUUCUAAGUGGUUAAAGAAAGAUGAGCUACUUAUAAAUUCCUUCCUUUAACAGCUGAUAUCUUCAACCUUCCUUCCCCACUCACUCUCAGCUAUGUAGGGGAGGGGCGGGGGAGGUGGUAGAAAUGGGGGAACCCCAGUCCUCUUGCUCCCACUCCUGCUCCCACACAAAGCUGGGCUGGCACAGGCAGCUUAUUCCAGUGCAGUGGACUUCCCUGAAAACGAGCCAGAACUUCGUGAGUUCCCAUGGCGGUCCUGGCCUGGGCCAGGGGCUGUGCUGUAAUGAAAGAGCAGACGUUAUCAUCUUCAUUCUAGAGAAAGGACAAUUUCAUCAGAAAGACAAAGCACAAGCAAAAUAAACAUCUGAAGAACACUGGCCCAAAUAAUGUAAUUAGAUAGGAUUUCAGGGAUUGAAUUCUUUUUGUAUUACAAAAUACAUCUUAUUUUGGUUUCACAAAUAAUGCUUAUAUGAAAAAACUUUUCUCCAUACGUUCACCCAGGGCGGCUUCAUGGAUGUGCAACCUAUGCGGUCACACGUGCUCAGAAGGGUCCCACACUUGGUGUAAUGCUCUGCCGUCACCAUCUUGAAAUUCUCAACGAUUUGAUCGUUGAACUUGGGUUUUGUAAGUGAACUCCAUCGGUGGAGGGAGCAGAAGAGAUGCACGCACUAUGCCAGUCCACAGUUCCUUGCUGACCACUCACAUAUGGUGUUCACCGUGCCCUGUGAGCGCUGAACUGGGGGGACCCACGCCGCGUGGGAGGUCAGCAAGACACAGUGAAGACAAAGUAAGUGUCUUACAUCUCUGACUAGGUGGGGCUGAUAACAGACCCAAGAUGUCACACUUUCUGUUGGGACCAGAAUUUGCUUCAAAUGCAGAAAAAGGCAAUGGCGUUCAAAGGACAUAAACGACCAAGGACUUCUGCCACAUGCUUUCUUACUCGUGUGACUUCCCUGUAUUAGCCAACCACUUCAUGCUGAAAACGACGACAUAGAAGGAAAGAGAAAGAAGAUAGUGCCUUCUCUUUUCUGUCCUUCCUUACUCAUCAGUGAGCCAAAGGUAGAGAAUAGGGUAGAAUGUGCGCACGUUAGGAAGUGAAAUAAACACAGUGGAGUAUUUCCACUUUCUAGUAAGAACGAAAUACAGAUGCGUGUACAAACAAAACACAGACUGUGUAAUUUCACCCAUUCUACAUACAAGUUAAAAGCUCUCAUAUUUGCAUUUAAAAUGACAUUGCACAAUAUAAAAAUGAAAGAUAAAAUUCAUGCUAAUAAUUCUAAUGUUUAAUUUUUCUUUACUUAACAACAUUAAAGAGCAAAUUAAAAAACACUAUGAGAAGCUGAGAGAAAGACUACAGGAGAAGGGAAAAAGCUUUCUAUUUCAAC
This 4876-nucleotide long non-coding RNA is filed under the name Equus caballus (horse). Its description in RNAcentral is "lncRNA (ENSECAG00000059108.1)". The record is from RNAcentral. Lineage: Eukaryota; Metazoa; Chordata; Mammalia; Perissodactyla; Equidae.